RNAcentral lists this ribosomal RNA (552 nucleotides) under Alternaria palandui. Its description in RNAcentral is "eukaryotic LSU rRNA". The stretch from base 196 to 349 matches the Rfam family "5.8S ribosomal RNA". Lineage: Eukaryota; Fungi; Ascomycota; Dothideomycetes; Pleosporales; Pleosporaceae. The record is from RNAcentral.
UCCGUAGGGGAACCUGCGGAGGGAUCAUUACACAAAUAUGAAGGCGGGCUGGAAUCUCUCGGGGUUACAGCCUUGCUGAAUUAUUCACCCUUGUCUUUUGCGUACUUCUUGUUUCCUUGGUGGGUUCGCCCACCACUAGGACAAACAUAAACCUUUUGUAAUUGCAAUCAGCGUCAGUAACAAAUUAAUAAUUACAACUUUCAACAACGGAUCUCUUGGUUCUGGCAUCGAUGAAGAACGCAGCGAAAUGCGAUAAGUAGUGUGAAUUGCAGAAUUCAGUGAAUCAUCGAAUCUUUGAACGCACAUUGCGCCCUUUGGUAUUCCAAAGGGCAUGCCUGUUCGAGCGUCAUUUGUACCCUCAAGCUUUGCUUGGUGUUGGGCGUCUUGUCUCUAGCUUUGCUGGAGACUCGCCUUAAAGUAAUUGGCAGCCGGCCUACUGGUUUCGGAGCGCAGCACAAGUCGCACUCUCUAUCAGCAAAGGUGCUAGCAUGCGCUGUAUAGCAGUGCGGUAGGCAGGAACAUAUCAAUAAGAGGAGGCAGUCUCGUGCAGUG